RNAcentral lists this transfer RNA (72 nucleotides) under Danionella cerebrum. Its description in RNAcentral is "tRNA-Glu". It matches the Rfam family "tRNA". From Rfam's summary of the family: Transfer RNA (tRNA) molecules are approximately 80 nucleotides in length. Their secondary structure includes four short double-helical elements and three loops (D, anti-codon, and T loops). Further hydrogen bonds mediate the characteristic L-shaped molecular structure. tRNAs have two regions of fundamental functional importance: the anti-codon, which is responsible for specific mRNA codon recognition, and the 3' end, to which the tRNAs corresponding amino acid is attached (by aminoacyl-tRNA synthetases). tRNAs cope with the degeneracy of the genetic code in two manners: having more than one tRNA (with a specific anti-codon) for a particular amino acid; and 'wobble' base-pairing, i.e. permitting non-standard base-pairing at the 3rd anti-codon position. Lineage: Eukaryota; Metazoa; Chordata; Actinopteri; Cypriniformes; Danionidae. The record is from RNAcentral.
UCCCUGAUGGACUAGAGGUCAGGAUUCGGCGCUCUCACCGCCGCACCCAGGGUUCGAUUCCCGGACAGGGAA